AUUGAACGCUGGCGGCAUGCCUUACACAUGCAAGUCGAACGGCAGCACGGGAGCAAUCCUGGUGGCGAGUGGCGAACGGGUGAGUAAAGUAUCGGAACGUGCCCAGCCGUGGGGGAUAACGUAGCGAAAGUUACGCUAAUACCGCAUACGAUCUAUGGAUGAAAGCGGGGGAUCGCAAGACCUCGCGCGAUUGGAGCGGCCGAUAUCAGACUAGGUAGUUGGUGGGGUAAAGGCUCACCAAGCCGACGAUCUGUAGCUGGUCUGAGAGGACGACCAGCCACACUGGGACUGAGACACGGCCCAGACUCCUACGGGAGGCAGCAGUGGGGAAUUUUGGACAAUGGGCGAAAGCCUGAUCCAGCCAUGCCGCGUGCAGGAUGAAGGCCUUCGGGUUGUAAACUGCUUUUGUACGGAACGAAAAGGUUUGGCCUAAUAAGCUGAGCUCAUGACGGUACCAUAAGAAUAAGCACCGGCUAACUACGUGCCAGCCGCCGCUGUAA
RNAcentral lists this ribosomal RNA (500 nucleotides) under uncultured bacterium. Its description in RNAcentral is "partial 16S ribosomal RNA". It matches the Rfam family "Bacterial small subunit ribosomal RNA", at positions 30 to 523 of the family's 1533-position model. The record is from RNAcentral.